UGGGGAAUCUUGGACAAUGGGGGCAACCCUGAUCCAGCCAUGCCGCGUGAUCGAUGAAGGCCUUAGGGUUGUAAAGAUCUUUCAGCGAGGAAGAUAAUGACGGUACUCGCAGAAGAAGCCCCGGCUAACUCCGUGCCAGCAGCCGCGGUAAUACGGAGGGGGCUAGCGUUGUUCGGAAUUACUGGGCGUAAAGCGCACGUAGGCGGAUAGUUAAGUUAGAGGUGAAAGCCCGGGGCUCAACCCCGGAACUGCCUUUGAUACUGGCUGUCUGGAGGUCGAGAGAGGUGAGUGGAAUUCCGAGUGUAGAGGUGAAAUUCGUAGAUAUUCGGAGGAACACCAGUGGCGAAGGCGGCUCACUGGCUCGAUACUGACGCUGAGGUGCGAAAGCGUGGGGAGCAAACA
Molecule: ribosomal RNA, 402 nt
Filed under: uncultured prokaryote
Description: bacterial SSU rRNA
Rfam family: Bacterial small subunit ribosomal RNA
Source: RNAcentral